UCACCAUGUACUAAGCUAAAAUCAGAAUGGAUCAAAGAUCUUAAUAUUUGGCUGUUUGGGAGACUAAAUGACCACACUUCACAGUGAACUAUACCACUCUGUAUAGUUCAUUACCAUUUUGUGGCUAAAUC
Molecule: small nucleolar RNA, 131 nt
Organism: Cavia porcellus (domestic guinea pig)
Lineage: Eukaryota; Metazoa; Chordata; Mammalia; Rodentia; Caviidae
Product: small nucleolar RNA SNORA4
Source: Ensembl